ACCUUCAGCAAUUUUUUGCUAUCUUCUUUAGAAAUUCCAUUUCUAUCCCCAACCAUCUGUACAGAAAUCUCAUUCUUUCCCUCAUCUUUGUCAACUGAGCUAUCAUCAAGAUGAAUUUUCCUCUUCUUGUUGGCCCUCUGGGGCUUGCAAUUAACUUUAGGUUCCUCUGAACUGCCAACACCAGUUUUUUCAAAACUAUUUGCAACAG
RNAcentral lists this unclassified non-coding RNA (208 nucleotides) under Hevea brasiliensis (rubber tree). Lineage: Eukaryota; Viridiplantae; Streptophyta; Magnoliopsida; Malpighiales; Euphorbiaceae. The record is from RNAcentral.